RNAcentral lists this ribosomal RNA (515 nucleotides) under uncultured bacterium. RNAcentral's name for it is "partial 16S ribosomal RNA". It matches the Rfam family "Bacterial small subunit ribosomal RNA", at positions 28 to 523 of the family's 1533-position model. The record is from RNAcentral.
GAUGAACGCUGGCGGCGUGCCUAAUACAUGCAAGUCGAGCGAAUGGAUUAAGAGCUUGCUCUUAUGAAGUUAGCGGCGGACGGGUGAGUAACACGUGGGUAACCUGCCCUUAAGACUGGGAUAACUCCGGGAAACCGGGGCUAAUACCGGAUAACAUUUUGAACCGCAUGGUUCGAGAUUGAAAGGCGGCUUCGGCUGUCACUUAUGGAUGGACCCGCGUCGCAUUAGCUAGUUGGUGAGGUAAAGGCUCACCACGGCAACGAUGCGUAGCCGACCUGAGAGGGUGAUCGGCCACACUGGGACUGAGACACGGCCCAGACUCCUACGGGAGGCAGCAGUAGGGAAUCUUCCGCAAUGGACGAAAGUCUGACGGAGCAACGCCGCGUGAGUGAUGAAGGCUUUCGGGUCGUAAAACUCUGUUGUUAGGGAAGAACAAGUGCUAGUUGAAUAAGCUGGCACCUUGACGGUACCUAACCAGAAAGCCACGGCUAACUACGUGCCAGCCGCCGCCGUAA